This 465-nucleotide ribosomal RNA is filed under the name uncultured bacterium. RNAcentral's name for it is "bacterial SSU rRNA". It matches the Rfam family "Bacterial small subunit ribosomal RNA", at positions 329 to 793 of the family's 1533-position model. The record is from RNAcentral.
GUCCAGACUCCUACGGGAGGCAGCAGUGGGGAAUAUUGCACAAUGGGGGAAACCCUGAUGCAGCGACGCCGCGUGAGUGAAGAAGUAUUUCGGUAUGUAAAGCUCUAUCAGCAGGGAAGAAAUAGCGACCUUUGGGUCGCCAGACGGUACCUGACUAAGAAGCCCCGGCUAACUACGUGCCAGCAGCCGCGGUAAUACGUAGGGGGCAAGCGUUAUCCGGAUUUACUGGGUGUAAAGGGAGCGUAGACGGAAUUGCAAGUCUGAUGUGAAAAUCCGGGGCCCAACCCCGGAACUGCAUUGGAAACUGUAUUUCUAGAGUGUCGGAGAGGCAAGUGGAAUUCCUGGUGUAGCGGUGAAAUGCAUAGAUAUCACGAAGAACUCCGAUUGCGAAGGCAGCAUACCGGCUCCAUACUGACGCUGAGGCACGAAAGCGUGGGGAUCGAACAGGAUUAGAUACCCUCGUAC